CAGUCGCGCGGUAAUACGAGGGGAGCUAGCGUUGUUCGGAAUUACUGGGCGUAAAGCGCGCGUAGGCGGCUUUUUAAGUCAGAGGUGAAAGCCCGGGGCUCAACCCCGGAAUUGCCUUUGAAACUGGAAAGCUAGAAUCUUGGAGAGGUCAGUGGAAUUCCGAGUGUAGAGGUGAAAUUCGUAGAUAUUCGGAAGAACACCAGUGGCGAAGGCGACUGACUGGACAAGUAUUGACGCUGAGGUGCGAAAGCGUGGGGAGCAAACAGGAUUAGAUACCCCAGUAGUCCCUGUCUCUUAUACA
This 301-nucleotide ribosomal RNA is filed under the name uncultured bacterium. Its description in RNAcentral is "partial 16S ribosomal RNA". It matches the Rfam family "Bacterial small subunit ribosomal RNA", at positions 509 to 808 of the family's 1533-position model. The record is from RNAcentral.